RNAcentral lists this small nuclear RNA (317 nucleotides) under Nannospalax galili (Upper Galilee mountains blind mole rat). RNAcentral describes it as "7SK RNA (ENSNGAG00000003245.1)". It matches the Rfam family "7SK RNA". Rfam says of the family: 7SK was discovered as an abundant small nuclear RNA in the mid-70s but a possible function has only recently been suggested. Two independent studies have found that 7SK RNA binds the CDK9/cyclin T complex (known as elongation factor P-TEFb). The record is from Rfam by way of RNAcentral. Lineage: Eukaryota; Metazoa; Chordata; Mammalia; Rodentia; Spalacidae.
GGAUUUAAGAGUGAGCUGGCUGCCACAUGUCACUACAUUGAUUGCCAGGGUUGACUCAGCUGAUCUGACUGGCUGGGUGGGUGUUCCCUUCCUCCCUGACCUCUCCAAGUGUGUACUGCUGCACACUGGGUAGAAGAGAACGACCUUCCCUGAAAAAGGAGGACCUUUCAUCAUUCAAGGGUGUAUGAGAAGCUGUGUUCCCUGUUAGAGCCUCUAAACAGGCUCUUAGAAUGGGCUGUUGUCCAACUCAUAGAACAGAGGUUGAGCCCUCCAAUUUUUUAAAAACACUUUUAUUAUUUUUAUGUGUAUGUGUGUAU